UUAAGCGACUAAGCGUACACGGUGGAUGCCCUGGCAGUCAGAGGCGAUGAAGGACGUGCUAAUCUGCGAAAAGCGCCGGCGAGGUGAUAUGAACCUUUGACCCGGCGAUGUCCGAAUGGGGAAACCCAGUGCAAUCCGUUGCACUAUCGUUAACUGAAUACAUAGGUUAACGAGGCGAACCGGGGGAACUGAAACAUCUAAGUACCCCGAGGAAAAGAAAUCAACCGAGAUUCCCCCAGUAGCGGCGAGCGAACGGGGAGCAGCCCGGAGUCUGAAUCAGCUUGUGUGUUAGUGGAACGGUCUGGAAAGUCCGACGGUACAGGGUGAUAGUCCCGUACACGAAAGCACACUUGCUGUGAACUCGAAGAGUAGGGCGGGACACGUGGUAUCCUGUCUGAAUAUGGGGGGACCAUCCUCCAAGGCUAAAUACUCCUGACUGACCGAUAGUGAACCAGUACCGUGAGGGAAAGGCGAAAAGAACCCCGGCGAGGGGAGUGAAAAAGAACCUGAAACCGUGUACGUACAAGCAGUGGGAGCCUCUUUAUGGGGUGACUGCGUACCUUUUGUAUAAUGGGUCAGCGACUUAUAUUCUGUAGCAAGGUUAACCGUAUAGGGGAGCCGAAGGGAAACCGAGUCUUAACUGGGCGUUAAGUUGCAGGGUAUAGACCCGAAACCCGGUGAUCUAGCCAUGGGCAGGUUGAAGGUUGGGUAACACUAACUGGAGGACCGAACCGACUAAUGUUGAAAAAUUAGCGGAUGACCUGUGGCUGGGGGUGAAAGGCCAAUCAAACCGGGAGAUAGCUGGUUCUCCCCGAAAGCUAUUUAGGUAGCGCCUCGUGAACUCAUCUUCGGGGGUAGAGCACUGUUUCGGCUAGGGGGCCAUCCCGGCUUACCAACCCGAUGCAAACUACGAAUACCGAAGAAUGUUAUCACGGGAGACACACGGCGGGUGCUAACGUCCGUCGUGAAGAGGGAAACAACCCAGACCGCCAGCUAAGGUCCCAAAGUCAUGGUUAAGUGGGAAACGAUGUGGGAAGGCACAGACAGCCAGGAUGUUGGCUUAGAAGCAGCCAUCAUUUAAAGAAAGCGUAAUAGCUCACUGGUCGAGUCGGCCUGCGCGGAAGAUGUAACGGGGCUAAACCAUGCACCGAAGCUGCGGCAGCGACGCUUAUGCGUUGUUGGGUAGGGGAGCGUUCUGUAAGCCGUUGAAGGUGUCCUGUGAGGGGUGCUGGAGGUAUCAGAAGUGCGAAUGCUGACAUAAGUAACGAUAAAGCGGGUGAAAAGCCCGCUCGCCGGAAGACCAAGGGUUCCUGUCCAACGUUAAUCGGGGCAGGGUGAGUCGACCCCUAAGGCGAGGCCGAAAGGCGUAGUCGAUGGGAAACAGGUUAAUAUUCCUGUACUUGGUGUUACUGCGAAGGGGGGACGGAGAAGGCUAUGUCAGCCGGGCGACGGUUGUCCCGGUUUAAGCAUGUAGGCGGAGGUUCCAGGUAAAUCCGGUACCUUAUUAACGCUGAGGUGUGAUGACGAGGCACUACGGUGCUGAAGUGAUAAAUGCCCUGCUUCCAGGAAAAGCCUCUAAGCAUCAGGUAACACGAAAUCGUACCCCAAACCGACACAGGUGGUCAGGUAGAGAAUACCAAGGCGCUUGAGAGAACUCGGGUGAAGGAACUAGGCAAAAUGGUGCCGUAACUUCGGGAGAAGGCACGCUGAUAUGUAGGUGAAGUCCCUGCGGACGGAGCUGAAAUCAGUCGAAGAUACCAGCUGGCUGCAACUGUUUAUUAAAAACACAGCACUGUGCAAACACGAAAGUGGACGUAUACGGUGUGACGCCUGCCCGGUGCCGGAAGGUUAAUUGAUGGGGUUAGCGGCAACGCGAAGCUCUUGAUCGAAGCCCCGGUAAACGGCGGCCGUAACUAUAACGGUCCUAAGGUAGCGAAAUUCCUUGUCGGGUAAGUUCCGACCUGCACGAAUGGCGUAAUGAUGGCCAGGCUGUCUCCACCCGAGACUCAGUGAAAUUGAACUCGCUGUGAAGAUGCAGUGUACCCGCGGCAAGACGGAAAGACCCCGUGAACCUUUACUAUAGCUUGACACUGAACACUGGUCCUUGAUGUGUAGGAUAGGUGGGAGGCUUUGAAGCGUGGACGCCAGUCUGCGUGGAGCCAACCUUGAAAUACCACCCUUUAAUGGCUGGUGUUCUAACGUAGACCCGUAAUCCGGGUUGCGGACAGUGUCUGGUGGGUAGUUUGACUGGGGCGGUCUCCUCCCAAAGAGUAACGGAGGAGCACGAAGGUUGGCUAAUCCUGGUCGGACAUCAGGAGGUUAGUGCAAUGGCAUAAGCCAGCUUGACUGCGAGCGUGACGGCGCGAGCAGGUGCGAAAGCAGGUCAUAGUGAUCCGGUGGUUCUGAAUGGAAGGGCCAUCGCUCAACGGAUAAAAGGUACUCCGGGGAUAACAGGCUGAUACCGCCCAAGAGUUCAUAUCGACGGCGGUGUUUGGCACCUCGAUGUCGGCUCAUCACAUCCUGGGGCUGAAGUAGGUCCCAAGGGUAUGGCUGUUCGCCAUUUAAAGUGGUACGCGAGCUGGGUUUAGAACGUCGUGAGACAGUUCGGUCCCUAUCUGCCGUGGGCGCUGGAGAAUUGAGGGGGGCUGCUCCUAGUACGAGAGGACCGGAGUGGACGCAUCACUGGUGUUCGGGUUGUCAUGCCAAUGGCACUGCCCGGUAGCUAAAUGCGGAAGAGAUAAGUGCUGAAAGCAUCUAAGCACGAAACUUGCCCCGAGAUGAGUUCUCCCUGAGACCUUGAGUCUCCUGAAGGAACGUUGAAGACUACGACGUUGAUAGGUCGGGUGUGUAAGCGCAGCGAUGCGUUGAGCUAACCGAUACUAAUGAACCGUGAGGCUUAACCU
This 2903-nucleotide ribosomal RNA is filed under the name Enterobacter hormaechei. RNAcentral describes it as "23S ribosomal RNA". It matches the Rfam family "Bacterial large subunit ribosomal RNA". The record is from RNAcentral. Lineage: Bacteria; Pseudomonadati; Pseudomonadota; Gammaproteobacteria; Enterobacterales; Enterobacteriaceae.